Amphibalanus amphitrite is the source of this 577-nucleotide RNA transcript. It is a transcript of the gene named H/ACA ribonucleoprotein complex subunit 3-like, with no coding region annotated. The record is from RefSeq and is a predicted model, not a curated record. Lineage: Eukaryota; Metazoa; Arthropoda; Thecostraca; Balanomorpha; Balanidae. The transcript is spliced from 2 exons.
ACCAUUUAUCGGCGCAGAAGUGCGCCAUUACAUUUAUAUUUACACACGUGGGUAAGCUCUCGGGUAAGCUAAGAGAGGCUAAGAGGGGUUUGUGACCGCACUUUACCGCUGCCACCAUGUACCUGAUGUACACUGAGGAUGAGAGUGGUAACCGGGUGUACACCCUGAAAAAGGUCUCGGAAGACGGGCGACCCACCACGUCUGCCCACCCGGCCCGCUUCUCGCCCGAAGACAAGUACUCGCGAGAAAGGAUCACCAUCAAGCGCCGCUUCGGGCUGCUGCCCAUCCAGAAGGCCAAGGUGGCCUGCUGAGAGACGGGUGGCUCCGGUGUCACACCAAAGGGGACAAUGGACAUUGUGCCAGAGGGCAUCCUUCGGUAUCGCACGGUGUCGGAAGAUUGUACCGGUCACGCAGUUCAUACAUCUUAUGAAUCAUGUGACCAUGGGAUUUGCGAAGUGGUGCCACGACUCGCGACCAUAAUCUAGCACCGUGAUGGUCGAUCUGAAAGCGACGUAGUCGUCACCGAUGAAUGGGGUUUAAUCAUUACACGCGUUUUGUAAAUAAACAUCGAGAUGUC